AGGACGAACGCUGGCGGCGUGCUUAACACAUGCAAGUCGAGCGGAAAGGCCCUUCGGGGUACUCGAGCGGCGAACGGGUGAGUAACACGUGAGUAAUCUGCCCCUAGCUCUGGGAUAGCUCCGGGAAACCGGGAUUAAUACCAGAUACGACCACUUUAGACAUCUGUUGUGGUGGAAAGAAUUUCGGCUAGGGAUGAGCUCGCGGCCUAUCAGCUUGUUGGUGAGGUAACGGCUCACCAAGGCGACGACGGGUAGCCGGCCUGAGAGGGCGACCGGCCACACUGGGACUGAGACACGGCCCAGACUCCUACGGGAGGCAGCAGUGGGGAAUAUUGCGCAAUGGGCGAAAGCCUGACGCAGCGACGCCGCGUGGGGGAUGAAGGCCUUCGGGUUGUAAACCCCUUUCAGCAGGGACGAAGCGAAAGUGACGGUACCUGCAGAAGAAGCGCCGGCUAACUACGCGCCAGCAGCCGC
RNAcentral lists this ribosomal RNA (474 nucleotides) under uncultured bacterium. Its description in RNAcentral is "SSU rRNA". It matches the Rfam family "Bacterial small subunit ribosomal RNA", at positions 26 to 518 of the family's 1533-position model. The record is from RNAcentral.